AGAGAAAGAAACGGGAUGAUAGAACGAAAGUGAACGAUGGAGAUUGAGUGACACUUUUUUUUUUUUGUUAGCUUCGGGUUUUGUGUUUUGGUGUUGAUCUUUCUUCUUUUCUUUUUUUCACUAUUCCUCUUGCCUUCUUUUGUAGGCGAGGAGUUUUUGUA
Molecule: non-coding RNA, 161 nt
Filed under: Protocruzia adhaerens
Lineage: Eukaryota; Ciliophora; Spirotrichea
Source: RNAcentral